Molecule: long non-coding RNA, 4396 nt
Filed under: Homo sapiens (human)
Lineage: Eukaryota; Metazoa; Chordata; Mammalia; Primates; Hominidae
Description: HSALNT0395884
Source: RNAcentral
UCCACCAUUGUGAUUUGUUCCUGCCCCACCCUAACUGAUCAAUGUACUUUGUAGUCUCCCCCACCCUUAAGAAGGUUCUUUGUAAUUCUCCCCACCCUUGAGAAUGUACUUUGUGAGAUCCACCCCUGCCCACCAGAGAGCAACCCCCUUUGACUGUAAUUUUCCAUUACCUUCCCAAAUCCUAUAAAACGGCCCCACCCGUAUCUCCCUUCGCUGACUCUCUUUUCGGACUCAGCCGGCCUGCACCCAGGUGAAAUAAACAGCCAUGCUUCUCACACAAAGCCUGUUUGGUGGUCUCUUCACACAGACGCGCAUGAAAUUUGGUGCCGUGACUCGGAUCGGGGGACCUCCCUUGGGAGGUCAAUCCCCUGUCCUCCUGCUCUUUGCUCCGUGAGAAAGAUCCACCUACCACCUCAGGUCCUCAGUCCAACCAGCCCAGGAAACAUCCCACCAAUUUCAAAUCCGACCCAUCUGACCUCUCCCCUCCUCGCCAGCCCAAGCUAAGUCCCAAUUCUUCCUCAGCCUCUGCUCCUGCAUCCUGUCAUUUUUUUAUCGCCUCCCCUCCUCACACCUGGUCCGGCUUACAGUUUCGUUCCGUGACUAGCCCUCCCCCUCCUGCCCAGCAAUUUACUCUUAAAAAGGUGGCUGGAGCCAAAGGCAUAGUCGAGGUUAAUGCUCCUUUUUCUUUAUCCCAAAUCAGAAGCGUUUAGGCUCUUUUUCAUCAAAUAUAAAAACCCAGCCCAGUUCAUGACUUGUUUGGCAGUAACCCUGAGACACUUUACAGCCCUAGACCCUAAAAAGUCAAAAGGCCGUCUUAUUCUCAAAAUAUAUUUUAUUACCCAAUCUGCUCCCGACAUUAAAUAAAACUCCAAAAAUUAAAUUCCGGCCCUCAAACCCCACAACAGGACUUAAUGAACCUCGCCUUCAAGGUGUACAAUAAUAGAAAAAAGUUGCAAUUCCUUGCCUCCACUGUGAGACAAACCCCAGCCACAUCUCCAGCACACAAGAACUUCCAAAUGCCUGAACCGCAGCGGCCAGGCGUUCCUCCAGAACCUCCUCCCCCAGGAGCUUGCUACACGUGCCGGAAAUCUGGCCACUGGGCCAAGGAAUGCCCGCUGCCCGGGAUUCCUCCUAAGCCGCGUCCCAUCUGUGUGGGACCCCACUGAAAAUCGGACUGUUCAACUCACCUGGCAGCCACUCCCAGAGCCCCUGGAACUCUGGCCCAAGGCUCUCUGACUGACUCCUUCCCAGAUCUUCUCGGCUUAGCGGCUGAAGACUGACGCUGCCCGAUCGCCUCGGAAGCCCCGUAGACCAUCACGGACGCCGAGCUUCGGGUAACUCUCACAGUGGAAGGUAAGUCCGUCCCCUUCUUAAUCAAUACGGAGGCUACCCACUCCACAUUAUCUUCUUUUCAAGGGCCUGUUUCCCUUGCCUCCAUAACUGUUGUGGGUAUUGACGGCCAGGCUUCAAAACCCCUGAAAACUCCCCCACUCUGGUGCCAACUUAGACAACACUCUUUUAUGCACUCUUUUUUAGUUAUCCCCACCUGCCCAGUUCCCUUAUUAGGCCGAGAUACUUUAACCAAAUUAUCUGCUUCCCUGACUAUUCCUGGACUACAGCCGCAUCUCAUUGCCGCCCUUCUCCCCAGCCCAAAGCUUCCUUCACGUCUUCCUCUCGUAUCCCCCCACCUUAAGCCACAAGUAUGGGACAUCUCUACUCCUUCCCUGGCAACUGAUCACAUGCCCAUUACCAUCCCAUUAAAACCUAAUCACCCUUACCCCGCUCAACGCCAAUAUCCCAUCCCACAGCAUGCUUUAAAAGGAUUAAAGCCUGUUAUCACUCGCCUGCUAUAGCAUGGGCUUCUAAAACCUAUAAACUCUCCUUACAAUUCCCCCAUUUUACCUGUCCGAAAACCGGAUAAGUCUUACAGAUUAGUUCAGGAUCUGCGUCUUAUCAACCAAAUUGUUUUGCCAUCCACCCUGUGGUGCCCAACCCGUACCCUCUUUUGUCCUCAAUCCGUUCCUCCACAACUCACUAUUCUGUUCUCCAUCUUAAAGAUGCUUUUUUCACUGUUCCCCUGCACCCCUCGUCCCAGCCUCUCUUUGCUUUCACUUAGACUGACCCUGACACCCAUUAGGCUCAGCAAAUUACCAAGGCUGUACUGCUGCAAAGCUUCACAGACAGCCCCCAUUACUUCAAUCAAGCACAAAUUUCUUCCUCAUCUGUUACCUAUCUCGGCAUAAUUCUCAAAAACACACGUGCUUUCCCUGCCAAUCGUGUCCGACUGACCUCUCAAACCCCAGCACCUACAAAACAACAACUCCUUUCCUUCCUAGGCAUGGUUAGCGUGGUCGGAAUUCUUACACAAGAGCCAGGACCACACCCUGUAGCCUUUCUGUCCAAACAACUUGACCUUACUGUUUUAACCUAGCCCUCAUGUCUGCGUGCAGCGGCUGCUGCUGCUUUAAUACUUUUAGAGGCCCUCAAAAUCACAAACUUUAUCAGUCCUCCAGGCCCAAGUUGACUCUUUAGCUGCAGUUGUCCUCCAAAACCACCGAGGCCUUGACUGACUUACUGCUGAAAAAGGAGGACUCUGCAUAUUCUUAAAUGAGGAGUGUUGUUUUUACCUAAAUCAAUCUGGCCUGGUGUAUGACAACAUAAAAAAACUCAAGGAUAGAGCCCAAAAACUUGCCAACCAAGAAAGUAAUUACGCUGAACCCCCUUGGGCACUCUCUAAUUGGAUGUCCUGGGCCCUCCCAAUUCUUAGUCCUUUAAUACCCAUUUUUCUCCUCCUUUUCUUCAGACCUUCUAUCUUCCGUUUAGCUUCUCAGUUCAUUGAAAACCGUAUCCAGGCCAUCACCAAUCAUUCUAUACGACAAAUGUUUCUUCUAACAUCCCCACAAUAUCACCCCUUACCACAAGACCUCCCUUCAGCUUAAUCUCUCCCACUCUAGGUUCCCACGCCGCCCCUAAUCCCGCUCGAAGCAGCCCUGAGAAACAUCGCCCGUUCUCUCUCCAUACCACCCCCCAAAAAUUUUCGCCGCUGCAACACUUCAACACUAUUUUGUUUUAUUUGUCUUAUUAAUAUAAGAAGGCAGGAAUGUCAGGCCUCUGAGCCCAGGCCAGGUCAUCGCAUCCCCUGUGACUUGCACGUAUACAUCCAGAUGGCCUGAAGUAACUGCAGAUCCACAAAAGAAGUAAAAACAGCCUUAACUGGUGAUAUUCCACCAUUGUGAUUUGUUCCUGCCCCACCCUAACUGAUCAAUGUACUUUGUAGUCUCCCCCACCCUUAAGAAGGUUCUUUGUAAUUCUCCCCACUCUUGAGAAUGUACUUUGUGAGAUCCACCCCUGCCCACCAGAGAACAACCCCCUUUGACUGUAAUUUUCCAUUACCUUCCCAAAUCCUAUAAAACGGCCCCACCCCUAUCUCCCUUCGCUGACUCUCUUUUCGGACUCAGCCGGCCUGCACCCAGGUGAAAUAAACAGCCAUGCUGCUCACACAAAGCCUGUUUGGUGGUCUCUUCACAUGGACACGCAUGAAACCUACUGUGUACUUUGCUUUCUUUGCUCUUGGUGAUUCCCCAAAAAACUUAUCUCAACAUAUAAGGAUUUUUCUUUUCUUUUUUUUUUUUUGUUUGAGACGGAGUCUCGCUCUGUCGCCCAGGCUGGAGUACAGCGGCGCGAUCUCGGCUCACUGCAAGCUCCGCCUCCCGGGUUCACGCCAUUCUCCUGCCUCAGCCUCCGGAGUAGCUGGGACUACAGGCGCCCGCUGCCACGCCCGGCUAAUUUUUUUGUAUUUUUAGUAGAGAUGGGUUUCACCGUGUUAGCCAUAAUGGUCUCAAUCUCCUGACCUCAUGAUCCGCCUGCCUUGGCCUCCCAAAGUGCUGGGAUUACAGGCGUGAGCCACCGCGCCCGGCUGUUUUUUUUUUUUUUUACUUGCCUUUUUCCAAAUGAGAAAACCAAGGCUCAGAGAGGUCAGUGGUGCAAUCUCGGCUCACAGCAACUUCCGCCUCCCGGGUUCAAGGGAUUCUAGUGCCUCAGCCUCCCAAGUACCUGGGAUCACAGGCAUCCGCCAUCACACCCAGCUAAUUUUUGUAUUUUUAGUAGAGACAGGGUUUCGCCAUGUUGUCCAGGCUGGUCUCGAGCUCAUGACCUCAGGUGAUCCGCCCACCUUGGCAUCCCAAACUGCUGGGGUAGGAUUUUCUUUUUUACUUCCCUUUUUCCAAAUGAGAAAACCAAGGCUCAGAGAGGAAGAGCGUGUUGCCCCAAGUGGCCCAGCAGAGCCACAGCCUUGCCCCCAGCAGCUCUGGCUCUAAUGCAUUCCAGACUCCUCCCAUCAGCCAACUGCCUCCCAUCCUCUAAUAAACUUCUGAGAAGCGCUGGGCAGAUGCAGUGG